RNAcentral lists this transfer RNA (72 nucleotides) under Caudoviricetes sp. RNAcentral describes it as "tRNA-Gln". It matches the Rfam family "tRNA". Rfam says of the family: Transfer RNA (tRNA) molecules are approximately 80 nucleotides in length. Lineage: Duplodnaviria; Heunggongvirae; Uroviricota; Caudoviricetes. The record is from RNAcentral.
UUCAGGUUAGUUUAAGUGGUAGAACAUUAGAUUUUGGCUCUAAGAAUAACGGUUCGAUCCCGUUACCUGAAA